RNAcentral lists this ribosomal RNA (497 nucleotides) under uncultured bacterium. RNAcentral describes it as "partial 16S ribosomal RNA". It matches the Rfam family "Bacterial small subunit ribosomal RNA", at positions 28 to 507 of the family's 1533-position model. The record is from RNAcentral.
GAUGAACGCUGGCGGCGUGCCUAAUACAUGCAAGUCGAGCGAACAGACGAGGAGCUUGCUCCUCUGACGUUAGCGGCGGACGGGUGAGUAACACGUGGAUAACCUACCUAUAAGACUGGGAUAACUUCGGGAAACCGGAGCUAAUACCGGAUAAUAUAUUGAACCGCAUGGAUCAAUAGUGAAAGACGGUUUUGCUGUCACUUAUAGAUGGAUCCGCGCCGCAUUAGCUAGUUGGUAAGGUAACGGCUUACCAAGGCGACGAUGCGUAGCCGACCUGAGAGGGUGAUCAGCCACACUGGAACUGAGACACGGUCCAGACUCCUACGGGAGGCAGCAGUAGGGAAUCUUCCGCAAUGGGCGAAAGCCUGACGGAGCAACGCCGCGUGAGUGAUGAAGGUCUUCGGAUCGUAAAACUCUGUUAUUAGGGAAGAACAAAUGUGUAAGUAACUAUGCACGUUUUGACGGUACCUAAUCAGAAAGCCACGGCUAACUACGUG